UACGUAGGUGGCGAGCGUUGUCCGGAUUUACUGGGCGUAAAGAGCGCGCAGGCGGUCGUUCAAGUCGGAUGUGAAAGCCCCCGGCUCAACUGGGGAGGGUCAUUCGAUACUGAUCGACUCGAAGGCAGGAGAGGGAAGCGGAAUUCCCGGUGUAGUGGUGAAAUGCGUAGAUAUCCGGAGGAACACCGGUGGCGAAGGCGGCUUCCUGGACCGACACUGACGCUGAGGCGCGAAAGCCAGGGGAGCAAACGGG
RNAcentral lists this ribosomal RNA (253 nucleotides) under uncultured bacterium. Its description in RNAcentral is "partial 16S ribosomal RNA". It matches the Rfam family "Bacterial small subunit ribosomal RNA", at positions 524 to 776 of the family's 1533-position model. The record is from RNAcentral.